UGAAGACCUGGCGUUUCCAAUUCCUCCAUAAGUACUGAAAACCCAGAAUUUCUAAACGAUUUAGGAGGCAUGUGAGAAAUUAUCUUAACCCCUGUGCGGUGAAUGAUUCAAUAAAAACAAGGCAAACCGGAGAGGAAAAGUGAAAACAAAGAUGGCGAACACUUGGACACAAUUCCAACCAUGACAAAAUCAACCUUUACCACCAGGCUGGGAGACUAAGUAUGAUGGCAACAUCGGAAGAUACUACUUUAUUGAUCACACUACAAACAAGACAACAUGGGAGGACCCCAGGUUAAAGAGACCAGAGGCAAUUCCUUUGACUCAGUUUAAGGUUUUUGCUCCACCUGAUCAUGGUAGCACUUCUAAUUGCCUUCACUGACUAAACAUAGUGUUGAAUACAAAUUGUAUUCAAGCUCAAAUAUGUAUUUAUACGAGUUCCUUUGUGGAAGUGAAAUUUAUGUAGAGCUGCUAAAACUACCAGAAAAAGUCAGAGUCCAGAAUUCAUAGCAUGUCUAAAAGCAGAACAGGAUAUUGGAGUAUGAAAGAAUGGUUUCAAAUAUUGAGCGAAAGUUAGGGAGUCAUUUCUGGUAGGGCUGAGACAUUGGGGCACAGGGAAACCAAGCAAAGACAAAUUCUUGAGAAGAGACCACUAUAAAGACUUUGACCUUUGGCAUCAAACUGAUGGAAUGCAAUUUGGACAAGAAGUUCGCUCUGGUGGCAAACAGUUGUCUUCAAUAAUCAACUUCCUGUUGUCAAUAAUUGCAACAUUCACAUUUGGUUACAUUGCAUCACAGUACGCUUUUCCUUCC
Pocillopora verrucosa is the source of this 809-nucleotide non-coding RNA. The record is from RefSeq and is a predicted model, not a curated record. Lineage: Eukaryota; Metazoa; Cnidaria; Anthozoa; Scleractinia; Pocilloporidae.